GACAACUAAAUUCUGAUUGGAUCCUUUUUUGUUUAAAGCUUUUGUUUCCAACCAAAACUAUUCCCACAGGGUAUAAACACAAAAAAAUGCUUUGUAGGACUUUCUAGAAUUUCGAAUUUCCCAGAAACCGUUAGACAUUCUCUGAAGAUGAGGGUUUUCCACUUUAAACAAUUAAAGGCAGUGCUGGAAUAAUGCUCUCCAUGAAAAACAGAAAUGAGUCUAACUUGAUGCGUCUGACAUCCGUUCCCCGUCCAGCCGCAUGCAAUCCCUGACUGUUUCUCGGAAGAAUGUGCUGGACGGCGUCCCAAAACACACGGCCCGAGUUUGUGGGAAGAAAAUGAUCCAGUGUCAUGCUGCAUGGAAAAUUGUCGGCCGAGCCAAGCAGGAUAUGCUGUGGGAUGGGAGGGGGGCAUUUCUGCACAAGCGAAUGUUCAGAUCCAGCAGGCUCGCUGCCAAGAGAGAGGCAGAGUGUCUGAGUGCAUGAGACUGGUGUACUGGAGUGUGAGUGUGUGUGUGUGUUAUUGAGAUAUUUCCAUGACUGGCAGUGUUUCAGGGUGGAUAGCUUUCAGAGCUUUUGGUAGCACCUGCUUCUGGAAAGUUCAUCUCUAUGAUCCAAUGAGAUUUCGGUAUGCCAGAUAUUGACGGAAUGGCAGCCGUGUCAGCAGAGGGGCAGCGAUCACACACACACACUCACACACACAGGUUGGCAUAUACACACACACACACACACACACACAGUCACACAGAGGGAGCGUGAACACACACUGGGUUAAAAGUAACAUGGCGCGUUCUCUGUAGGCAUCAUGUUAUGGAGAACUAAACACAAAUGUAUUCAUAGUAACGGUUGCUAGGUUUACGCACACAUACAGGCUGUGCCUUUACGGAUAAUAUGUAAAUGGACUCUGUUCUGAUUGGAUCUUCUGUGGAUGGGACAUUCUGUUUCAGAUAUUAUGGGGACACUUAACCUUCCUUAAUCUAUGGUGUCACAUGUGUGAAUAUAUUAUUAAAGGAAAUGAUCAUGACCUGCAGCAUCUGGCUAAAAUUGUCUAUUCAAAAAGGUCAAAGCUCAAAAAUGAGGUCAGUGCUGCAUUCUGUAGCUUCAAUGGGAAUGGGAAUUUAGUCCCAUGUCUCACGGUAUUUGCCAGUCAUACUGUCAUACUUGCAUAAAGCCAACCACUAAUAUGGGCC
This 1188-nucleotide long non-coding RNA is filed under the name Astyanax mexicanus (Mexican tetra). RNAcentral's name for it is "lncRNA (ENSAMXG00005019620.1)". Lineage: Eukaryota; Metazoa; Chordata; Actinopteri; Characiformes; Acestrorhamphidae. The record is from RNAcentral.